GACGAACCGUGCGAACGUUAUUCGGAAUCACUGGGCUUAAAGCGCGUGCAGGCGGGCCGCCCCGUCGGUCGCUGAAAUCCCCCGGCUCAACCGGGGAACGGGCGCCGAUACGAGCGGCCUGGAGGGGGGUAGGGGGAGCCGGAACUCACGGUGGAGCGGUGAAAUGCGUUGAGAUCGUGAGGAACGCCCGUGGCGAAAGCGGGCUCCUGGACCCCACCUGACGCUCAGACGCGAAAGCCAGGGGAGCGAACGGG
Molecule: ribosomal RNA, 254 nt
Filed under: uncultured bacterium
Lineage: Bacteria
Also listed under: 1 other name
Description: partial 16S ribosomal RNA
Rfam family: Bacterial small subunit ribosomal RNA
Source: RNAcentral